This 441-nucleotide ribosomal RNA is filed under the name Metabacillus endolithicus. RNAcentral describes it as "bacterial SSU rRNA". It matches the Rfam family "Bacterial small subunit ribosomal RNA", at positions 72 to 498 of the family's 1533-position model. Lineage: Bacteria; Bacillati; Bacillota; Bacilli; Caryophanales; Bacillaceae. The record is from RNAcentral.
AUGGGAGCUUGCUCCCUGAGGUUAGCGGCGGACGGGUGAGUAACACGUGGGUAACCUGCCUGUAAGAUUGGGAUAACUCCGGGAAACCGGAGCUAAUACCGGAUAACAUUUUGAACCGCAUGGUUCGAAAUUGAAAGAUGGUUUCGGCUGUCACUUACAGAUGGACCCGCGGCGCAUUAGCUAGUUGGUGAGGUAACGGCUCACCAAGGCGACGAUGCGUAGCCGACCUGAGAGGGUGAUCGGCCACACUGGGACUGAGACACGGCCCAGACUCCUACGGGAGGCAGCAGUAGGGAAUCUUCCGCAAUGGACGAAAGUCUGACGGAGCAACGCCGCGUGAACGAUGAAGGCCUUCGGGUCGUAAAGUUCUGUUGUUAGGGAAGAACAAGUACCAGAGUAACUGCUGGUACCUUGACGGUACCUAACCAGAAAGCCACGGCU